UACGAAGGGGGCUAGCGUUGCUCGGAAUCACUGGGCGUAAAGGGUGCGUAGGCGGGUUCUUAAGUUAGAGGUGAAAGCCUGGAGCUCAACUCCAGAACUGCCUUUAAUACUGGGAAUCUUGAGUUCGGAAGAGGUAGGUGGAACUGCGAGUGUAGAGGUGAAAUUCGUAGAUAUUCGCAAGAACACCAGUGGCGAAGGCGGCCUACUGGUCCGAUACUGACGCUGAGGCACGAAAGCGUGGGGAGCAAACAGG
RNAcentral lists this ribosomal RNA (253 nucleotides) under uncultured bacterium. Its description in RNAcentral is "partial 16S ribosomal RNA". It matches the Rfam family "Bacterial small subunit ribosomal RNA", at positions 524 to 776 of the family's 1533-position model. The record is from RNAcentral.